UCAGCGCCCCGGUGAAAACGCCCUUAAACCCUCAUAGGACUAAGGAGCUGGUAUCAGGCUCAACUAUUAGCCCAAGACACCUAGCUAUGCCACACCCACAAGGGUACUCAGCAGUAAUUAACAUUGAAUAUAAGCGCCAGCUUGAUUCAGUUAAGGUAAGUAGGGCCGGCAAAUCUGGUGCCAGCCGCCGCGGUUACACCAUGAGACCCAAAUUGAUUUCUUUCGGCGUAAAGCGUGAUUAAAGCAACUUUAUACUGUAGUCAAACUAAAAUUAUAGUUGUGAAAAGCUUAUACUUAGGAAGCCCAAAAACGAAAGUUACUACACCGAAAACAACUUGAAUUCACAACAGCUAAGACACAAACUAGGAUUAGAUACCCUACUAUGCUUAGCCGCAAACUUUUAAUUACACUCACAACGCCAGGGUACUACGAGCAAAGCUUAAAACCCAAGGGACUUGACGGUACCCCAUAUCCCCCUAGAGGAGCCUGUCCUAUAAUCGAUAAUCCCCGUUUAACCUCACCAUUUUUAGCCAUAUCAGUCUGUAUACCUCCGUCGCCAAUUUACCACGUGAGCGUCUAAUAGUAAGUGAAAUGUCUUAUUACUCGAUUAUACGUCAGGUCAAGGUGCAGCAAAUAAAAUGGGAAGAGAUGGGCUACACUCUCUAAUUUAGAGCAUACGGAAAACUCGUUAUGAAAAGAGUUUGAAGGCGGAUUUAGUAGUAAGAGAGGCUCAGAGAACCCCUCUAAACCGGCACUGGGGUGUGUACACACCGCCCGUCACCCUCUUCGCAGCCCUUAAAUAGUGUUUUACAACCCCAUGCAUAGUANNNNNNNNNNNNNNAGUAUACCGGAGGUGUGCUUGGAAA
RNAcentral lists this non-coding RNA (866 nucleotides) under Bokermannohyla circumdata (Espirito Santo treefrog). RNAcentral describes it as "partial 12S ribosomal RNA". It matches the Rfam family "Bacterial small subunit ribosomal RNA", at positions 394 to 1474 of the family's 1533-position model. Lineage: Eukaryota; Metazoa; Chordata; Amphibia; Anura; Hylidae. The record is from RNAcentral.